CAAGAUUGUAACAUAAUAUGUCAAAAUUAAACCAAAAUCUGAAGUCAAGAUAAAUUCUAUAAAAAUUCUUUAUUGUUCAUUCUUGAAAUUCAAUUUUAUAUUUUUGUUUCAAGCAAGGCAAAUUGUGAAAAUUACAGUCAGAAAGUAAAAUCUGAAAACAAGAUAAAAAUUCUAAAAAAAUUCUUGAUUGUUCGUUUUGCAAGCUACUUUUGAAACCUAAUUUGUUUCUGUCUGUGUACUCGUAUGCCCAGCGCAUAUUUGAAAAAAGACCAGGAAAUGCAAAAUGAUUUAAUGCUGAUGUGUGUAACAGGCAGAAAGACGUCUUCCCACUCGGUUAUCUCAAAGUCUAAGCUCUUAAUUGAUUGACUGCUUGAUCCCCUUGGCGGCUACUUAAUAUGCCAAAUCGGACAACCUGAAGCACCUCUGCAUUAUCCCAUAUAUACAUUCCCAAAUGCCAAAGUUUGCGACGGCUAUGCAUAUUACAUAGUUGUGAAUGUAAGUCUACAUCUCAACGGACCCACUUUAAGCCGCAAGACAUUCGCCCACUUCCGAAGUUUGCCGCUGUGUCGCAUGCAUAAUGCAUGGGGCGAACACGGCGUAUACGUAAUGACCUCGGCUUAGCAUUUUUCCAAGCAGAUUUCUUCAACAAGGAAAAUGCAAUACGCAUUUGACACUUAAGAUGUACGAUGUAGUGCGGUAGAAAAUGAAAUUUUCCAUUAGAUUGGCUUUUGCAUUCACAGCAAACACUUCACCACCAUAAAUUCAAUUCAAGUAGUUGAUGGAUGUUGUAUGCAAAACAUGGAACAUGUGUGUUAUCGGCAGAGAAAUGUGCGAGCCUAGGGCCAAGGCUAAUCAAUAGGGCAACUAAACAAGUGUACCUAAGGACAACCGGUCAAUAUGCUUAAGUUUCGGAGCAGACGCCCAAGAAACCCCCAGAGUCAGAGGGUGAACGAUAUUAAUCAUCUAACUCGCUUGCCCGUUUAGUUUAAAGCGACCUCCCAUUUAGCAGGGCCGCUUAAUGGUCGCUUUACACGCCUCCAGCACUCUGUGCAUGUUGCUCCCAUGUGCACUCGACCGUGACACAAUUGCACAUAGUUGCAAUAUUUCACGAACUUGACUCGACGUGUUGGCAAUGUUCGCUCGUAAGUGUGCCUGAGCAUGAGGGCAACGGGAAUUUGAUGUCUGUUGCAUUAUGUCGCAUGUCGUGACUGCGAUUGCGGCAGCUGCCAAAUGAAGUCGCACUUAACUUAACUUUUAACCUUUGUAAGUUUGUCCGCAUGGCAAAGUUUAGCCAAAGAAUUCCCAUGUUGUUUAACUCAAGUAAACGUUGUCUGUUGUGUGGAAUUAAAAUUCCAACUUUAAUUGAAUAAAGUUGAUUUGUUUAAGUAAACAAAACAUUUCACAAUUUAAAUAUUAUUUUUGGAAAAUGUCAAAACUAAAAAAUUGAGCAUUCAAGAUACAAAUCGAAGGACAUCAAAGCAAAGCUGAUUGAUUAACUCGUUUAUGCACAAAUCGUCCGACCAAAGGCCAAUUUGUUUUUGUGUGUGCCACUGACAAGCCACAAAUCGACAGGCGAAAGAUACUAAGUCGAUGUUAAAGGGAAUUGAUGACUGAGACUGAGAUACGGCAGAUACAGAUACAGGAGACAGAUGCACAGUGGAGAUUAAGCGACAUGUAAAACGUGACAUUCAAUGGAAACGAAAUGGAAAAAUAAGCCCGAAGUUAUCUUGCGACCUUUUUUUUUAUUUUCGUCUACCAUUUGUACAUGGACAAUUUGUUUACAUAUCAAUCGAUGUUUAUUUUUUGAGCAGUUGUUGAUUUUUACUAAGGCAGCCAUAAAAUAUUGUUUAUAAUUUGUAUGCUGUCAGUCAGCUCAACAUUCUAUGUUCCAUUGUCUUCAGACAUCUAAUGAAUCCAAUAUUUAU
This is a long non-coding RNA of Drosophila sulfurigaster albostrigata, 1925 nucleotides long. RefSeq lists it as uncharacterized. The transcript is spliced from 3 exons. The record is from RefSeq and is a predicted model, not a curated record. Lineage: Eukaryota; Metazoa; Arthropoda; Insecta; Diptera; Drosophilidae.